CCUACGGGAGGCAGUAGUGAGGAAUAUUGGUCAAUGGGCGGAAGCCUGAACCAGCCAAGUAGCGUGCGGGAUGAAGGUGCCAAGCAUUGUAAACUUCUUUUGUCAAGGGACAAAAUCAGGCUCGAGAGCCUGACCGAGGGUACUUGAAGAAAAAGCAUCGGCUAACUCCGUGCCAGCAGCCGCGGUAAUACGUAGGGGGCAAGCGUUAUCCGGAUUUACUGGGUGUAAAGGGAGCGUAGACGGCAGCACAAGUCUGGAGUGAAAUGCCGGGGCUUAACCCCGGAACUGCUUUGGAAACUGUGCAGCUAGAGUGCAGGAGAGGUAAGUGGAAUUCCUAGUGUAGCGGUGAAAUGCGUAGAUAUUAGGAGGAACACCAGUGGCGAAGGCGGCUUACUGGACUGUAACUGACGUUGAGGCUCGAAAGCGUGGGGAGCAAACAGGAUUAGAUACCCUUGUAGUC
RNAcentral lists this ribosomal RNA (460 nucleotides) under uncultured bacterium. RNAcentral describes it as "partial 16S ribosomal RNA". It matches the Rfam family "Bacterial small subunit ribosomal RNA", at positions 338 to 795 of the family's 1533-position model. The record is from RNAcentral.